This is a ribosomal RNA of 569 nucleotides. It matches the Rfam family "Bacterial large subunit ribosomal RNA", at positions 1832 to 2600 of the family's 2925-position model.
CGCCUCUUGAACCCUUAUAAGAGGUCCAGCCUGCCCAGUGACUCUGUUCAACGGCCGCGGUAUCCUAACCGUGCGAAGGUAGCGUAAUCACUUGUUCUUUAAAUGUGGACUAGUAUGAAUGGCAUCACGAAGGUUAUACUGUCUCCUUUUUCUAAUCAGUGAAACUAAUCUCCCCGUGAAGAAGCGAGGAUAAAACUAUAAGACGAGAAGACCCUAUGGAGCUUUAAACAUUUAUAACACUUGCUAAAUAAAAUACAAAUUUCAGAAUUAUUUACUCUUUAAGCAACUUGUCUAUAAGUUUUUGGUUGGGGUGACCGCGGAGCAUAAUACAACCUCCAUGUUGAAAGAUCUAUUUCUAAGCUAAGAGCUACACCACUAAGCAUCAACAUAUUGACAUCCAUUGACCCAAUAUAUUUGAACAACGAACCAAGUUACCCUAGGGAUAACAGCGCAAUCCACUUCAAGAGCUCCUAUCGACAAGUGGGUUUACGACCUCGAUGUUGGAUCAGGGUUUCCCAGUGGUGCAGCCGCUACUAAAGGUUCGUUUGUUCAACGAUUAAAACCCUACG